AAAAAGUUGAGUAACCGAUUACCCGAAUGGUGUAAUCGAUUACUCUAAUUCGUUUUUAAAAGAAUAGUGGACAAAGAGUUUGGGUAAUUGAUUAUCCACUAUCAAUAAUCGAAUACUGAGAGCUAUUGCAUGAGAUUUCAGAUUUCAAAAUGAAUUAUUUUCACUCCAAACGAAAUCUCUUCACUUCAAACAACUCCUACACUUUCAGAAAGGCACCAUGGGUGUUUGGAAAGUCUAUAUAAAGGCUCUAACUCUCAAAACAAAAACACACAACAAUACACAACUCUUAUAAAAUUUCCAAAAGCUCUUAAACUUAUU
This 318-nucleotide long non-coding RNA is filed under the name Lupinus angustifolius (narrow-leaved blue lupine). RNAcentral describes it as "long non-coding RNA (LANG_LNC003164)". Lineage: Eukaryota; Viridiplantae; Streptophyta; Magnoliopsida; Fabales; Fabaceae. The record is from RNAcentral.